Molecule: ribosomal RNA, 223 nt
Filed under: uncultured bacterium
Lineage: Bacteria
Description: partial 16S ribosomal RNA
Rfam family: Bacterial small subunit ribosomal RNA
Source: RNAcentral
GGAUCUCGAAAGCCUGUCCCAGUUCGGACUGGAGUCUGCAACCCGACUCCACGAAGUUGGAUUCGCUAGUAAUCGCGCAUCAGCCAUGGCGCGGUGAAUACGUUCCCGGGCCUUGUACACACCGCCCGUCAAGCCAUGGGAGCCGGGGGCGCCUGAAGUCCGGGACCGCGAGGACCGGCCUAGGGCGAAACUGGUAACUGGGGCUAAGUCGUAACAAGGUAAC